RNAcentral lists this unclassified non-coding RNA (254 nucleotides) under Capnodiales sp. RNAcentral's name for it is "partial contains 5.8S ribosomal RNA, internal transcribed spacer 2, and large subunit ribosomal RNA". The record is from RNAcentral. Lineage: Eukaryota; Fungi; Ascomycota; Dothideomycetes; Capnodiales.
CGCACAUUGCGCCCUUUGGUAUUCCGAAGGGCAUGCCCGUUCGAGCGUCAUUUCACCAAUCAAGCCUGGCUUGGUGUUGGGCCCCGGGGGUGACCCGGACCUCAAUAUCCGCCGGCCGGACGACCCGGAUCCCAGCGUUAAGGCACUGUCACAAGUUCCGCUGGAGGAGACGGGCGGCCGCGCCGUCACGAAAUACGUCGGUUCGCCGACGAAAGGUUGACCUCGGAUCGGGUAGGGAUACCCGCUGAACUUAA